Molecule: ribosomal RNA, 466 nt
Filed under: Vreelandella stevensii
Lineage: Bacteria; Pseudomonadati; Pseudomonadota; Gammaproteobacteria; Oceanospirillales; Halomonadaceae
Description: partial 16S ribosomal RNA
Rfam family: Bacterial small subunit ribosomal RNA
Source: RNAcentral
CCUACGGGAGGCUGCAGUGGGGAAUAUUGGACAAUGGGCGAAAGCCUGAUCCAGCCAUGCCGCGUGUGUGAAGAAGGCCUUCGGGUUGUAAAGCACUUUCAGUGGGGAAGAAAGCCUUGGGGCUAAUACCCUCGAGGAAGGACAUCACCCACAGAAGAAGCACCGGCUAAACUCCGUGCCAGCAGCCGCGGUAAUACGGAGGGUGCGAGCGUUAAUCGGAAUUACUGGGCGUAAAGCGCGCGUAGGCGGUCUGAUAAGCCGGUUGUGAAAGCCCCGGGCUCAACCUGGGAACGGCAUCCGGAACUGUCAGACUAGAGUGCAGGAGAGGAAGGUAGAAUUCCCGGUGUAGCGGUGAAAUGCGUAGAGAUCGGGAGGAAUACCAGUGGCGAAGGCGGCCUUCUGGACUGACACUGACGCUGAGGUGCGAAAGCGUGGGUAGCAAACAGGAUUAGAUACCCUGGUAGUC